UGAGCGGCGGACGGGUGAGUAACGCGUGGGUAACCUGCCUCAUACAGGGGGAUAACAGUUAGAAAUGACUGCUAAUACCGCAUAGGACCACGGUACCGCAUGGUACAGUGGUAAAAACUCCGGUGGUAUGAGAUGGACCCGCGUCUGAUUAGGUAGUUGGUGGGGUAACGGCCUACCAAGCCGACGAUCAGUAGCCGACCUGAGAGGGUGACCGGCCACAUUGGGACUGAGACACGGCCCAG
Molecule: ribosomal RNA, 242 nt
Filed under: uncultured bacterium
Lineage: Bacteria
Description: partial 16S ribosomal RNA
Rfam family: Bacterial small subunit ribosomal RNA
Source: RNAcentral